UGAGAGUCAGGCAAAGAGAAGAGGAAAAGAAGGAAGAAAGAAGGUGAGUGAGUUGAGAGGAAAGAGAGCAGAGAAAUUCUCCAAGAGAGAAAAUUUAGUGAGCCACACAUAUUGUAAACACUAAAGUUGUAGCCCUAUUAUUUUAUAUAGUGGAAAAGUUACUGCUGCUGCUCUCCGAGGACGUAGGCAUAGCCGAACCUCGUUAAAUGUUGUAUCUCAUCUACUUUACGCACAGCUCAAUAUUUUAGCACAUAUUCCGUUCAUUUUACAACACAUUAUCAGCACGAAUUCGCUUUAACAAUACCAGCUGAAUUCUCUGAUGAAACCCAUAUCUCUUAUUCCUUUUUUCUUCUUCCUCAUCAUCAUCAUCAUGGAUUGAUCCCUGCUUCCAAAACCUCACUCUCACAUACACAACAGCACAGACUGCCCCAAGUUCCUCAUAUGGCCGCUCAUCAUCACUGGGGUCUCGAUCAUGGUGGUUGCAGAAGCCUACUAUAUGAACACUUUCCUCAUGUGGGUUUACCUGUUCAUCAUGUUCUUCAUCAUGACAGCUCUGACUGGCUUCAUCAUCUUCGCAUCUACUGUUGUUGUUCCAUCACUUUCCCUGUCUACAAUUCUCUCACUAAAUUCACAGACAAAUGAGAACGUUGUAGUUAUGGAAGCAAGGGAAGAAGAUAAUGUUUGUGGGUGUAGAUGCCCAAAGCUUUUUCACAAAGAUAGUCAUACUUGCCCACCAAGAUGUAUUCCAAAUUACUUUAGUGUGGUCAUUCAAGUGCUGGCACCCACCUCAUCUUUUUGUCUCUACGUUUUUAACAAAGAUGACAUAUGCCAUCAUUUCCCCAUUUCAAAAGCUCCG
RNAcentral lists this long non-coding RNA (856 nucleotides) under Prunus dulcis (almond). RNAcentral describes it as "sRNA ncRNA". Lineage: Eukaryota; Viridiplantae; Streptophyta; Magnoliopsida; Rosales; Rosaceae. The record is from RNAcentral.